GUGAAUCAUCAAAUCUUUGAACGCAAAUUGCACUCUCUUCGGAUAGUAUGCCUGUUUCAGGGUCAGCCUAAAAUAAAUCUACAUAGUUUCUUUUACGCUGUAUCUUUCUUCCGCCAUUGGGUCAACUUAAACCUUUGUGUUUAAGCCGCCUAACAUUUUCUUUACAAUUCCAAGAACGUCUCUAAGAUUUUAUUUUCUUAUACGUUUAAGGUAUCUAUCUUUAUUAGACCUUGCCGUUGCUUCGGAUCUCGUCCAUCACUAUUCCGUUAACUAUCCUCAGCCAG
RNAcentral lists this unclassified non-coding RNA (284 nucleotides) under Glomus sp. RNAcentral describes it as "partial contains 5.8S ribosomal RNA and internal transcribed spacer 2". The stretch from base 1 to 65 matches the Rfam family "5.8S ribosomal RNA", at positions 84 to 154 of the family's 154-position model. Lineage: Eukaryota; Fungi; Glomeromycota; Glomeromycetes; Glomerales; Glomeraceae. The record is from RNAcentral.